RNAcentral lists this ribosomal RNA (443 nucleotides) under uncultured bacterium. RNAcentral's name for it is "partial 16S ribosomal RNA". It matches the Rfam family "Bacterial small subunit ribosomal RNA", at positions 338 to 795 of the family's 1533-position model. The record is from RNAcentral.
CCUACGGGAGGCAGCAGUGGGGAAUAUUGGGCAAUGGGCGCAAGCCUGACCCAGCAACGCCGCGUGAAGGAAGAAGGCUUUCGGGUUGUAAACUUCUUUUAUGAGGGACGAAAGAAAUGACGGUACCUCAUGAAUAAACCACGGCUAACUACGUGCCAGCAGCCGCGGUAAUACGUAGGCGGCAAGCGUUAUCCGGAUUUACUGGGUGUAAAGGGCGUGUAGGCGGGACUGUAAGUCAGAUGGGAAAAUUAUGGGCUCAACCCAUAAACUGGAUUUGAAACUGUAGUUCUUGAGUGCUGGAGAGGUAGGCGGAAUUCCGUGUGUAGCGGUGAAAUGCGUAGAUAUACGGAGGAACACCAGUGGCGAAGGCAGCCUACUGGACAUUAACUGACGCUGAGGCGCGAAAGCGUGGGGAGCAAACGGGAUUAGAUACCCCAGUAGUC